This 301-nucleotide ribosomal RNA is filed under the name uncultured bacterium. Its description in RNAcentral is "partial 16S ribosomal RNA". It matches the Rfam family "Bacterial small subunit ribosomal RNA", at positions 509 to 809 of the family's 1533-position model. The record is from RNAcentral.
CAGCAGCCGCGGUAAUACAGAGGGUGCGAGCGUUAAUCGGAUUUACUGGGCGUAAAGCGUGCGUAGGCGGCUUUUUAAGUCGGAUGUGAAAUCCCUGAGCUUAACUUAGGAAUUGCAUUCGAUACUGGGAAGCUAGAGUAUGGGAGAGGAUGGUAGAAUUCCAGGUGUAGCGGUGAAAUGCGUAGAGAUCUGGAGGAAUACCGAUGGCGAAGGCGGCCAUCUGGCCUAAUACUGACGCUGAGGUACGAAAGCAUGGGGAGCAAACAGGAUUAGAUACCCCAGUAGUCCCUGUCUCUUAUAA